This 384-nucleotide long non-coding RNA is filed under the name Rattus norvegicus (Norway rat). RNAcentral describes it as "long non-coding RNA NONRATT005931". Lineage: Eukaryota; Metazoa; Chordata; Mammalia; Rodentia; Muridae. The record is from RNAcentral.
UAAAGUCUUUAAGCCUUAUCAAUUAAUGUUAAUUACCAACGAUUGAAAAAUGCAGACCACCAAGGCACUGCUCAUUUCUCCAGUUCUGAUCCGCUCCUGUACCAGGGGUCUAAUCAGGCCUGUGUCUGCCUCCCUCCUGAGUAGACCAGAGGCUCCAUCUAAAAAGCCUUCCUGCUGCAGCUCCCCUCUCCAGGUGGCCAGACGGGAAUUCCAGACCAGUGUUAUUUCCCGGGACAUUGACACAGCAGCCAAGUUUAUUGGUGCUGGGGCCGCCACAGUUGGUGUGGCUGGAUCAGGGGCUGGCAUUGGCACAGUGUUUGGUAGCUUGAUUAUUGGCUAUGCCAGGAACCCGUCUCUCAAGCAGCAGCUCUUCUCCUAUGCCAU